AACAGCAUGAUCCUAAAGCCCUACUUCCACAAGGAAUCGCAGUGGCCCAUGGCCACGUGGUUCAACCAGCCAGCCCAGAAGAUCUGCAGAUGCAAGCAAAAGUAUACCACAUUGACCUGCACCCUGCAUCUGGACCCAUCUGACCCAUGGUAAGCUGCCCCACAGUGAGGUACCACACCAAAGUACAAGCUGGCAGGGGCUUCAGCUUAGAAGAGUUAAGGGUGACCAGCAUCCACAAGAGGGUGGCAUUAGUACACCAUGUCCCUGUGGGCCAAUGUUCAGCACCUGAAGGAGUUAAGACUCCAAGCUCAACCUCUUCUCCAGGAAGCUCUUAGCCCCCAAGAAGGGAGACAGUUCUGAAAAACUCAAAUCAGCCACCCAGCUGACAGGACCAAUAAUGCCCAUAUAGUACGUCUAUAAGAAGGAGAAAGCUGGAAUCAUCACUAAGAACUUUAAGGUAUUUGCCAGUCUUCACACAGCCCACAUCAAUUUUCAGCUCUUUGGCAUAUGGGCAAAAAGGGCCAAGGGAGCCACAGAACAGGAUGCUGAAAAGGAAAAAUGA
RNAcentral lists this long non-coding RNA (562 nucleotides) under Homo sapiens (human). RNAcentral describes it as "non-protein coding lnc-NEIL1-3:1". Lineage: Eukaryota; Metazoa; Chordata; Mammalia; Primates; Hominidae. The record is from RNAcentral.